UAACAACUAAAAAAGUGACACAAAAGUAAAAGAGUCAACAAAAAAGCAAAGAAUUUCAAAAACAUUCAAGGAUGACCAAUUCACAUAAGGGGAGUCAGAAGAAUGGCACAGUGGUGGUGGUGUGGUGGAGAACCAGGAGUUGGUGACACUUACCAGAAUGGGUCCUGAGGUGUCCUGUGAGGGCGUCCCUUCUUCUACAGGCGUAGCUACAGAAAGGACAUUUGAACGGCUUCUCUCCAGAGUGUAACUUUAUGUGUCUCAGAAGGUUGCCCUUCUGAGUAAAAGAAGCUCCACACUGGUUACAGUGGAAGGGGCGUUCACCUGCAGUAAAGAGAAGAAAUGGGAAGUAUCAACUAGGAAAAGUUGGAAUUUUGUUAGCACAGCCUUCAUUCUGGAUUGCUGACAGAGUCUUUUCGUAAAGCAGAAACAAGCUUUAAUGGAAUGCAGGUGUAGCAGAUUGCCAGUUUGAGGUAAAGAGAAAGUUGUCUGAGUAAGCCUGUUUUGGAAGAAGACCAGCUUACACUGCCAAAUUUCCUGAGCGUGGAUUUCAUUUCAUAUAAGAGCAAUCUACUUUGAACUGGUGUUUGGCAACCAUCUGCUUAACGUAACUGUAAGAGGCUUGUGAAGCAAAUUACAUUGUGAAAUUAUCUUUUUAAUAAGAGCAGUACAAAAUUCUUAACCUAACUUCUGUAAGAAGUAAAAUCCAGCUGAGUGGGUAUGUUCCCAAAGGGACCCACAAGGAUUCCCUGAGGUCACUAAGGACGCUUAAACAAGGUCAGAAGGCAAGGCUGCUGGCGGCUCAACAGAAAGAGAUAAGGAAGAGAGCAGGAUUUCUAUCACUGGGCAACGGCAACAGAGGGAGGAGCCAAAGCAGUGCAACACUCUUCAGCAGCUUUACCGGGUCUCUGAAGUGAAGCAACAGGGGAACCCAACAGGUUUCCAUACCCCAGGUUCAAACAUCCCUGGGUCAUACACAUUGAGAUCAAGGCUACAAAAGUUCUUUCCCUGCUGUUCUUCCAUAAACACUGUACUACUGGUCUGAGUCAAAUUAAACAGAGUCUGCAUUUGGCCCUGAGAUGCAGGAUUGGUCAGUUAGAAAUUAAUAACCAGUAAGAUCUAUCAAGUAGUGAGAAAGAGAAAACUUGUGGUGAUUAAGGGGAAUUAAAGCAAUUUUUGACAGAUCAGUGCCAGAUACUUAUUUUCCACAAUGUAGCAGCAGCAGUUUGUUGUUGUUGUUGUUGUUGUUCUUCUUCUUCUUCACAAUGCUCAUACCUAGUUUUCUACUCCUAAUGAAUGAAUGAACAUUUUAAGUAGGAUUACAGAAUGCAAAUAAUUAAAGGCAAAAACAUUUACAAAGCAUCCUAUGAAGUAUUUAAAUCAUGGAAAUACCAGAUUAUAACAUCUAUGUUUAAAUGCUUACAUAUAUAAAUGUUAGGAAGCCACUUGCUAGCUCCCUGCUUCCUACUGUAUAAAGUGAAGAUAAUAUCCUCUACAUUAAAACUGUGAAGACUGGAAAAGCAUGCAAUCACUUAAAGCAAGCAACAUAGCCCUGUGGUUAAAGAGCAAGGGCUCUAGGUCCAGCACCCUGGAGUUUAAGGCCAGGUUCAUUCAUUUAUAAGUCACAUGACCUUAGGAAACCUAAGUUUCAAUUUUCUCAUCUAUAAAAUCAAAAUAAUGACAACAGCUGCCUCCUAGGGUUGUCCUGAGUAUUAAAUAAAAUUGUAUAAACAAUACACUUGGAACUACUUGCUUCUUAUUAAUAUAUCUAGGUGAAAGCAUUUCAUAAGUAUCAACAUCAAACAAACAUAAAUCUGGGGUUAUGUUUACUACAUGGAAGUACAGGGAAGAUGCAGAAGGCUUUAUGAAGGAAAUGGCAUGUAAAAUAGUACUAAUAAGUUGGAUAUGACUUAUAUAAAAGAAGAACUAGGUGGCACUCAAGAUAGGGGCAAGCAUGAGGAGAGGAAAAAGGCAUGAGUACAUGUUGGUUGUGAAUGACACCAUUUUUUCCGGAAUGGAUACACUCAAUGGAUAAUAUACAAUAGAACAUAUUCUAAAACCGCAGAGCAUUUAAAAUUGAGCAAAGUACAAGAGAAUUAAUGCUUGAACGGCAGUUAAUUUCAAAAGACAAAUGCUGUUAACUUAUUAAUAGGACAACCAAGUAUGAAGAACUCUUAAGAAAUCAUUCAAAAUUACUCACUGAGCACCUGCUCUGUACCAGGCACCAUGAGGCAGUAGUGAACAAGACAGAUAUAUUCCCUGCUUUUAUGGCACUAGUGAAAGGUGGAGACAAGAAGAGAUCACAAUCCCACUGCAAGUGUCUGUCUGUGUGGAAGGAGAAGUAUAAAGGCACAGAAUUGGGAAGAAGCAAGGCUCAAAGCAAUUCACUUAAAUUCCUGAACUAAGGACUUGUAGCCCUACCAUAUAUCCCUUUAUCAGAAAGCAGAAUAUUUACUGUUGAAAAUACAUGUCAGUAUCAACUGGU
This is a long non-coding RNA of Pan troglodytes (chimpanzee), 2482 nucleotides long. RefSeq lists it as uncharacterized. Lineage: Eukaryota; Metazoa; Chordata; Mammalia; Primates; Hominidae. The transcript is spliced from 5 exons. The record is from RefSeq and is a predicted model, not a curated record.